GACGAACGCUGGCGGCGUGCCUAAUACAUGCAAGUCGAACGAACCGCGACUAAGUGCUUGCACUAAGUCAAGGUGAGUGGCGAACGGGUGAGUAACACGUGGGUAACCUACCUCAUAGUGGGGGAUAACAGUCGGAAACGACUGCUAAUACCGCAUAGGACAUAGGAUCACAUGAUCCAGUGAGGAAAGGUGGCGCAAGGUAUCGCUAAGAGAUGGACCCGCGGUGCAUUAGCUAGUUGGUAGGGUAAAGGCCUACCAAGGCGAUGAUGCAUAGCCGACCUGAGAGGGUGAUCGGCCACAUUGGGACUGAGACACGGCCCAAACUCCUACGGGAGGCAGCAGUAGGGAAUCUUCCGCAAUGGACGCAAGUCUGACGGAGCAACGCCGCGUGAGUGAAGAAGGUCUUCGGAUCGUAAAGCUCUGUUGUUAGAGAAGAACAGCGCAUAGAGUAACUGCUAUGCGUGUGACGGUAUCUAACCAGAAAGCCACGGCUAACUACGUG
Molecule: ribosomal RNA, 502 nt
Filed under: uncultured bacterium
Lineage: Bacteria
Description: partial 16S ribosomal RNA
Rfam family: Bacterial small subunit ribosomal RNA
Source: RNAcentral